Non-coding RNA from Pelobates cultripes (western spadefoot toad), 258 nucleotides. NCBI's taxonomy places the organism in Eukaryota, Metazoa, Chordata, Amphibia, Anura, Pelobatidae. The record is from the annotation of a GenBank genome assembly.
GGAGGAGUUGCACUGUUUGUGUGGGAGAGUUUUCAUAUUGUGACUGUAUGUGAUUGGAUACUGUACAAAUGUCUCAGUCUUCCACAAGGUCCCUAUGGGAGUGUCCCUUGCUGGAAGACCUGCAUAAAAGGGCGAUAUGAGGCCACCAUUAAACAGAUCACGCUUGACCCUCAACACAGAGCCUCGUCUCGUGCUUGGGGGAAUAUUUCGUAUGAUUCUUGUUUGGUGCUUAGGAGUGUUCGGUAGCUAACUUCUUAU